This 253-nucleotide ribosomal RNA is filed under the name uncultured Leptospirillum sp. Its description in RNAcentral is "partial 16S ribosomal RNA". It matches the Rfam family "Bacterial small subunit ribosomal RNA", at positions 524 to 776 of the family's 1533-position model. The record is from RNAcentral. Lineage: Bacteria; Pseudomonadati; Nitrospirota; Nitrospiria; Nitrospirales; Nitrospiraceae.
GACGUAGGGGGCAAGCGUUGUCCGGAAUUACUGGGCGUAAAGAGUCUGUAGGUGGUUUGUCAAGUCUUUGGUGAAAGGCCGUAGCUUAACCAUGGGAAUGCCAGAGAGACUGGCAGACUGGAGGCUGGGAGAGGGAGGCGGAAUUUCUGGUGUAGCGGUGAAAUGCGUAGAUAUCAGAAGGAAGGCCGGUGGCGAAGGCGGCUUCCUGGAACAGACCUGACACUGAGAGACGAAAGCGUGGGGAGCAAACAGG